CCUACGGGAGGCUGCAGUGAGGAAUAUUGGUCAAUGGACGAGAGUCUGAACCAGCCAAGUAGCGUGAAGGAUGACUGCCCUAUGGGUUGUAAACUUCUUUUAUAAAGGAAUAAAACGAGGCACGUGUGCCUUUUUGCAUGUACUUUAUGAAUAAGGAUCGGCUAACUCCGUGCCAGCAGCCGCGGUAAUACGGAGGAUCCGAGCGUUAUCCGGAUUUAGUGGGUUUAAAGGGAGCGUAGAUGGGUUGUUAAGUCAGUUGUGAAAGUUUGCGGCUCAACCGUAAAAUUGCAAUUGAUACUGGCAGUCUUGAGUACAGUUGAGGUAGGCGGAAUUCGUGGUGUAGCGGUGAAAUGCUUAGAUAUCACGAAGAACCCCGAUUGCGAAGGCAGCUUACUAGACUGUGACUGACAUUGAUGCUCGAAAGUGUGGGUAUCAAACAGGAUUAGAUACCCCUGUAGUC
RNAcentral lists this ribosomal RNA (460 nucleotides) under uncultured bacterium. Its description in RNAcentral is "partial 16S ribosomal RNA". It matches the Rfam family "Bacterial small subunit ribosomal RNA", at positions 338 to 795 of the family's 1533-position model. The record is from RNAcentral.